CUCAAAGCCAUUUAGAUGGAGGUCGAUGAGCUGAACUGAGCCACCCAGAGACUUCAGGCAGAAAUCACCAACCUCAGGAAACAGAUGGGACCCCAACUCAGCAGUGUGCUGCCCUGCAAGACACCAUCCUGGAGGCAGAGCAGAAGGGCAAGGUAGCCAUCGGAGAUGCCCAGGACAAGCUGGCUGAGGUGGAGGCUGGACCAGCUGCUCUGUGAGUACCAGGAGCUGAUGAGCAUCAAGGUGGCCCUGGAGGGCCAGGCGUGCAGGAGUUGAUGCGAUUCCCAGCUGAGAUUGAAUUAUGAAUUAUGAAGCAGACUUGAGGUAUCCUUUCCUCUGACGUUGUUCUCCUCUGAGCCCCGUGAGAGGAUCUACUGAUUAUUCUGUUUUCAUGCGAACAGGCAAUCUAGAGAAGUCACCAACAACAUGAACUGCUCUACAUAGGUGGGGGUGGAUUUGCUGUGCGGUCAGGAUCCAACCUUCCCUUUUCCUGAGAGUAAAAGGAAGGAGCCUUUGGCCAGGCAGCUGGGGCCCUGGGGCCCUGAACUUGCUCUGUAGGCAUUGGCUGUGUGGCCUUGGGCAGGUCACUAUUUGUCCGUGGCCCUGUGGAGGUUCCUCCUCCACAGUAUAGGAGCUGCAGGGUUCCUCUUCCGUGUAGAAACUCACGCUGCAUCCACGUGGGGGAAGGGGAGACCCUGCCUUCAGGGCCCUUGCUGCCUGUGGUGGACACAUGGCCCAGACAGUGGGUGGUGUGGGAGCCCUGGCCACUGUUCCUUCAUGGGACACUUCAAGAAGGUGCCCCUCAAUGCUGUGUGAGAUGGAUAUUCAGGGAUGUAGAAGGGGUGUGGGGGUGCACAGAGCUGUCUCCCCACAGCUGUGGUGUCAAGCACUGUUUCAGCUCUCAGGCCACUGUGUCUGGCUUUUGCUCAGGGAACAGAGACUUCCUGAGAGGGGGCACCAUCCCCUGAGGAUCUGGUGCAGCAUCCAGGUUCGUGUCCAGGGCUGCCAGGUCCUUGGGGGCCAGCUGGAGGGUCCAGACCUCAAGCUAGGAAUCCUGCACAUGCUGGUCCUGACUUGGGAGAUGAGGAGUCAAGUUUAAUGAGAGUCCAGGUCUCCAACUCAGGGCACAGAAACCUGUGGGUCUCCCUCCCAGAGGCAAAGGCCAAUCUUCUGGCCCUGCUCUCUCCUGGUAUCUGUCUGCCUGAGCACGCAUACCUGCUCUGGCUCUACCCCCACCUUUUUGUCUUCUAUGGCAAUGUGGAGAUGGGCUUUUGGGUCAAAACAAAUUCUUUUUCUUUUCUCCCUCAUGCAUCCAAAUGCCAGGCCCCAGAAGAAAGCCCCUCUCAGUGGGCCUUUGGUGUCAGUCACCUUCUCCCUUGUCUCUCCCUGCAGGCUCGUAGUGCUCUUAGCCCACACUGUCUCCUUCUGUGAUGCAGAAGCAAGAGCUCUUCUCCUAUCUCUGGUACUGAAGUAAGGGCAUGCAUAAACACCUUUUGAAACAUGAUUACUAUCAAUUCUCAGUUAUCCACCUUAGUGGAUGUCAGCCAUGGUACUGAUUAUCUGCAACCAUGUUUAGCAAGAAGUUGUUUUUGUUUCAUUUUACAAGGCCUCCUAUGACCUAUUCUAAGGCAGAGGGACUCUCUGCCUUCCACGGAUUCGUAGACCCUGGGUGGCCACAAAAGGGAGGAGGAGAGAGGAAGAUCUAUGGGGACUGGGAGGGUGAAAGUGUGCCAGCCCGGCCCCACCCCAUUCCCUGAGAAAGCCAGGUGGAUUAUCCACCUGGAGAGCAACCUGAGGGUGGGCUGGGUUCAGGUGUCUCCCCUUCUGCCGGAAUGAGUAUAAAAACAUAGCAGAAGCAAAUCCAUCAUAAGGGCCAUACUUCAGGCAGAGUCUAGUUUGAAAUGAUGUCCAGUGUGACCUGCUGGGCUAUGAGGGGUGUGACUAGAGCCCUGGAGCCCUCCAGUUUAUGAAGGAGAUCUUGCAUCCUGUGUUUUGUUUAAAGGGUUGCCCACUCCCACCUUACCCUCUCUCCCACACCUCUCCAAUAAACUUCAUGGGGAAUUUAUUCUGUUUGGAAACUUUAAAAAUAUUCACUAAUAAGAUCUUCCCUGAGUAUUGUUCACUACCCCCAGAUUGCCAUCCUGCAAGGCACACAUGUGCACAUGUGCACACACACACACACACAUGUUCAUUCUGUUCUAUCCUUGCUUGGCUGUCUGUGCUGACAGGAGGGAACACUGGAAGGGGUGCUAUUCCUGUUUGGCUUUGGAAGGUUGGCACAAAGGACCCUUGUUUCCUCUCUCUAUUAGGAAAACUCAGCUUCCGUUUUUACAGCAAUAACUUCAGGCCUUGAGCCUUGUUUGGUGGCCAAGCUGGUGUUAUUAUUGGCUAAUUGCAGGGUAAUAGUGUUGCUAUCAUUAUUGCUAGGAGGACUAUUAUCAGGUAACUAAAUGGCCAGAGGGUGUGGAGUGGGAAAAGCAGCCUGGGGGCUUGGGUCACAAGGGCAACUCUCCUGUUUCGUCUCCUGCUUUGCUCAGAAGGCAGUUUCCAGUCCAGCACUGCACUUGGAGUCCAGAGGUGUUGUAUUGGAAGGCAGGUCUUGUCAAAAGUUCCCUGCUGUGAGCUCUGUUUUGAGCAGCAAGGGGAGGAAGAUAGCCAGGGAUAAUGGUGCACAGGUCCUGCCUUUGAGCCACUCCUACACUUCUGAAGAGGCAGCAUGCAUUCAUUCAACAACCAUUUAUGUGCCAGAUUGUUCUCAACACUAAUACAAAAGGGUGAUCAAGACUUCUGGCUACUGGGAAGCAGGUAAGUGAAGGUGCACAGUAUAGUGAGACAGAUGCUAUCUUGGGAAGAGCAUCUCAGGAACAAGAGACCCAGAUUAGGAGGAUAAGGGAGACUUCCUUGAUGAAGAUUUCUCAAAGCUGAAACCUGAAACCUGAAAGAUGAAGAGUUAGCCAAGGGGAAGGGAGUGUUUAAGUAGAGGUGCUGUAUCUACUGUGAACAGAGCAGUGCUGGGCACAUAAGUAGGUGCACCAUAAAUGGUUGAAAUGGUCAAAUGAAAGAAAAGGAGAUUGACAAGAGCAUAAGAAACUGCAGUCUGGUGGAGCUUGCAGAGAGAUGUGGCAGGACAGGUGGGUGGGGCAAGAUCAGGACAAGAGAGCCCUUCCGGGUAGAGUGGCCACCUUGUUCCUGUUUGCCUGGAACUUUCCUAGUUUUAAAACUGAAAGUCCUACAUCCUGAGAACCCAAUAAGCCCAGGCAAAUGGAAAAUGUUGGUCAUCCUAUGGCUGCGUUGCCUUCCCAGAUUUGGACUCCAUGCUGCAGCUUUGAGCAGUGGACUAUUAGACACAAUGGCAAGAAUGCUUGCUUACCUAGCAGGCAGAGCAUAGCUGAGCCUGCUGGGUGCCUCCCCACCCCGCCCCUUAUCCUUUCUCCUUUCACAGAAGUAGAAAUUUAGAUGAGCACAUGGCCAGCCACCCAAAGAUGACAUUUCCCAGCCUCCCUUGAAAAUAACUAUGGCCAUGAAACUAAGCUCUGGUCAGAGGGAUACGAGUUGUGGUAUCUUGCUCCUGAUUGUGCUGUUAAAAGGCACAACUCCUGAGAGUGGGUUCAGGCUCUGAUGAAAACAAUAUGAGGAAGUUUAAGAAACUCUCCAAGCUCAAGACCUGACCCAGACCUUUUCAAUAAGAAUCUCAGGGUCAGGGAAAGUAGGGAUUUUAGAAAGAUCUCAGGCAGUAGUGGUUAAAAGGAUGGACUCUGCAGUGGGCUGCCUGGCUUCCAGUCCUGGUUCUAGCUAUGUGACCUUGUGCAAGUAACUUAACCUUCUGUGCUUCAGUUUUCUUAUCCAUAAACUGUGUGUUAACUGAACCUUCUUGAUGGGGUUAUUUUGAAGAUUAGUGUGCUCAGAACAGUACCUGUCAUAUACAUGCUUAAUUUAUUAAUGUGCUCAGUAAACAUUGCAAGAUGUACUAUCGCAUAUCACAACCAGGAUAUUGACAUUUAUACAAUUAAGAUACAGAACUUUACCAUCAUCACAAAUUUCCCUCAUGUUGUCCUCAUUUGGACACACCCACUUCUCUCCUGUGACACUGUUUAACCCCCAAGCAAUUACUAAUCUGUUCCCCAUUUCUGUAUUUCAAGAAUGUUAUAUAAAUGGAAUCUUUUUGAGAGUAUUACAUAAAUGGAAUCAUACAAUAUACAAAUCAUACAAUCCCUGAGGAUUUUUUUUUUUACUCAGUAUAAUUCUUUAGAGAUUCACAUGGGUCAUUGCAUGUAGUGAUAGUUUAUUUCUUUUCAUUGCUGAGUAGUACUCUAUGACAUGAAUGUACCACGGUUUGCCACCCAUUGAAGGGCACCUGGAUUGUUUGCAUUUUUUGGCUAUUACAAAUAAAGCUGCUAUAAAUGUUUGCAUACA
Molecule: long non-coding RNA, 4410 nt
Filed under: Homo sapiens (human)
Lineage: Eukaryota; Metazoa; Chordata; Mammalia; Primates; Hominidae
Description: HSALNT0368291
Source: RNAcentral